UACUGUGAGGACGGUGCCCUGGGCCAGAGUUCCAGGACCUUGGAGGGACCAGCAGGCCCAGCCCUGCCUUAGGUUUCCUUGUUGUGCUCAUUUCAUAUGAAUGGAAUUAUAAAAUAUGUAGCCCUUUGUGACUGGCUUCUUUCACUCAGCAUAAUGUUUUCCAGAUUCAUCCACAUCGUAGCAUGGAUCAGUACUUCAUUCCUAUUCAGGUUGUCUUUUCACUUUCUUAAUGGUGUCUGCUGAAUGUGUCCCCUCAAAAUUCAUAUGUUGAAACCCUGAUGUCCAAUGUGAUGAUAAUAGGAUGUGGGACCAUUAGGAGGUGCUUGGAUUGUAAGAGUGGAGACCUCGUGAAUGGGAUUAUGCUCUUAUAGAAGAGAUCCCACAGAGCUCCCUAGUUCCUUCUGCCAUGUGAGGAUACGCUGAGAAGUGUGCAACUCAGAAGAAGGCCCUCACCCGACCAUGCUAGCACCCUGAUCUCAGACUUCUAGCCUCCAGAACUGUAAUAAACAAAUUUCUGUCAUUUAUAAGUUUCCCAGUGUGUGGUAUUUUGUUAUAGCACCUGGAAUGGAUUAAGACAACGUC
Molecule: long non-coding RNA, 582 nt
Filed under: Equus asinus (donkey)
Lineage: Eukaryota; Metazoa; Chordata; Mammalia; Perissodactyla; Equidae
Description: lncRNA (ENSEASG00005038814.1, ENSEASG00020037567.1)
Source: RNAcentral